GGGUGGCAAUUUGUGUUGAUUAGGGACGACAAGUUCUGUUAAUUAGGUGUGGCAAUUUUGUGUCUAAAUAGGUUUUGUGUGAGGAUGUUUUGAAUGAAGGUGGUAACUCGAUUUGAUGUAGAAGAGAUGCGGGAUGUGGUGGUGGAUGGUAAAUUUUGACUGAAAUGUAUGUGCGUGGUUAUGUUUGUUCAUUACUGGUGGCAAAUUGUAUUCAAUUAGGGCUGUCCAUUUCUGUUCAUUAUUGGUGAAAAUAUUUUUUCAGGUGGCAAUUUAUGUUAAUUAGCGUUGGCAAUUUAUGUUAAUUAGUGUUUGUGUGUGGUGUCAAUUUUUUUCUAUUAGUGUUUGUGUGGUUGAUUUUUGACCAAAUGGAUUGCAAUUAGUGUUCAUUGAGGGUGGCAAUUUGUAUUGAUUAAGAGCGGCAAUUUUUGUUCGUUCAGGGUGGCAAUUUUGUGUUCGGAUAGAAUUUUGUGUGGGGGUCGUUUUGAAUGAAGGUGAUAGUUUGAUCUGAAUUGGAGGAGAUGCAGGAUGUGGCGGUGGAUAAUAAAUUUUGCUUGAAUUAAUGGAUGGGCAUUAUUAUUUUUGUUCAUUAUGGAUGACAAUUUGUAUUUACUUGGGGCUGUCACUUUGUGUCUACUGGUGGCAUUUUGUAUUCAGUGGCAAUUUAUAGUUAUUAAGGGUGGCAAUUCUGUUCAUUAGGGAUGACAUAGAGAUAGUGUUGUGUGGGGUCGCUCUUAGUGGAGGUCGUAGGUCCAAUUGCAGUGUGGAAGAUGCGAAAUGCGGUGGUAGAUUUUGACCGAAAUGGAUUGACAUGUUUAAUUAUCUGUUUUUCUUAGGUAUGUCAAUUUGUGUUCAGUAGGGCAGACAAUUUGUGCUCAUUAUGGAUGUCAAUUUUUUUCAUUAGGAGCAACAGGGAGAUAAGGUUUGUGUGCUGUCAUUCUGAAGGAAGGUGAUAGCUCAAUUUCAAGUGCCGGAGAUGUAUAUAGUUAUUUCUAUGGUGUCAUUUCGACCGAUAUAGAUGUACAUAAUUAUUUGUGUUCAUUAGUGUAACAUCCCAUUUUUCAAAACCCUUCAUAUGCAUUGCAUUUCAUAAGCAUCAUGUCACCUUUGCAUUUAAUCACAUUUAAAACCCUAAAGUUUAACUCAGAAAAACCCAUUAAAAAAAGUACUUUUAUUUGAAUCUGGCUUUCUUCUUGCUUUUGGUUAAUUGCAUUUUAACCCAUGAGGGUUUUAGCAUAAAAAGGGGUUUAAUGCAUUUAUAAAGCUACACCAUGUCUUGGCAUUUGAAUUUGAUUUGAAUCACAAAUUAUUUUUAAUAGCUAGAAAGCCCUAAAGGUAUAGGCAAAAAUAUAUUUUUCAAAAUAUUUUAUUUUGACGGAAUUCUUGUCCCAAAAGUUGAAUCAUAUGAAAAUAUGAUUUUAUAAAUUUUGUUGCAAUUUAUUUGGUUAAAUUGGAGCUUUCUCUCAAAAUUGGUAUUCAAAAACAGAAAUAGAAAAGGAAAAAAGAAAAGAAAAAAAAAGAAACAGUGGCCGGCCCGGCCAAAUGGGCCGAACCGGCCCACUCACCUGCGCUCGACCGAGCUAGCCCAGCCCCCGCACGCGCUGCCCGUGCCGCUGACAGGUGGACCCCACUGUCAGGCCGUCGUCUUCGUCUCCAACUGCCUCCUCUUUCCCCGGCCACGACCGCGUCCGAACCGGCCACGACUCCUCCCGAUUUCUGCGGCCACGCAGCCCCACCUUCGAAUUGGAGCGCGUCACCCUGAAGGCCACAACCUCCUCUCUCUUUUCCCCCAUCUCUCUCGCCCGUUUUCGCUCUCGUUUCACCGAAAUUUCUCGCCGGAAAAAGCUUCUGCCG
This 1851-nucleotide long non-coding RNA is filed under the name Brachypodium distachyon (stiff brome). RNAcentral describes it as "long non-coding RNA (BDIS_LNC004644)". Lineage: Eukaryota; Viridiplantae; Streptophyta; Magnoliopsida; Poales; Poaceae. The record is from RNAcentral.